UAUUGUUAGUAUUCAAAAUAACAUAGCAAGUUAAAAUAAGGCUUUGUCCGUUAUCAACUUUUAAUUAAGUAGCGCUGUUUCGGCGCUUUUUUU
Non-coding RNA from Listeria monocytogenes, 93 nucleotides. NCBI's taxonomy places the organism in Bacteria, Bacillati, Bacillota, Bacilli, Caryophanales, Listeriaceae. The record is from Rfam.